Molecule: transfer RNA, 74 nt
Filed under: Candidatus Dojkabacteria bacterium
Lineage: Bacteria
Description: tRNA-Ala
Rfam family: tRNA
About the family: Transfer RNA (tRNA) molecules are approximately 80 nucleotides in length. Their secondary structure includes four short double-helical elements and three loops (D, anti-codon, and T loops).
Source: RNAcentral
GGGCCUGUAGCUCAAUUGGCUAGAGCGUCACAUUCGCAUUGUGGAGGCUGUCGGUUCGAUUCCGAUCAGGUCCA